RNAcentral lists this ribosomal RNA (1499 nucleotides) under Salmonella enterica. RNAcentral's name for it is "partial 23S ribosomal RNA". It matches the Rfam family "Bacterial large subunit ribosomal RNA", at positions 757 to 2236 of the family's 2925-position model. Lineage: Bacteria; Pseudomonadati; Pseudomonadota; Gammaproteobacteria; Enterobacterales; Enterobacteriaceae. The record is from RNAcentral.
UAACACUAACUGGAGGACCGAACCGACUAAUGUUGAAAAAUUAGCGGAUGACCUGUGGCUGGGGGUGAAAGGCCAAUCAAACCGGGAGAUAGCUGGUUCUCCCCGAAAGCUAUUUAGGUAGCGCCUCGUGAAUUCAUCUCCGGGGGUAGAGCACUGUUUCGGCUAGGGGGCCAUCCCGGCUUACCAACCCGAUGCAAACUGCGAAUACCGGAGAAUGUUAUCACGGGAGACACACGGCGGGUGCUAACGUCCGUCGUGAAGAGGGAAACAACCCAGACCGCCAGCUAAGGUCCCAAAGUCAUGGUUAAGUGGGAAACGAUGUGGGAAGGCCCAGACAGCCAGGAUGUUGGCUUAGAAGCAGCCAUCAUUUAAAGAAAGCGUAAUAGCUCACUGGUCGAGUCGGCCUGCGCGGAAGAUGUAACGGGGCUAAACCAUGCACCGAAGCUGCGGCAGCGACACUCAGGUGUUGUUGGGUAGGGGAGCGUUCUGUAAGCCUGUGAAGGUGUGUCGUGAGGCAUGCUGGAGGUAUCAGAAGUGCGAAUGCUGACAUAAGUAACGAUAAAGCGGGUGAAAAGCCCGCUCGCCGGAAGACCAAGGGUUCCUGUCCAACGUUAAUCGGGGCAGGGUGAGUCGACCCCUAAGGCGAGGCCGAAAGGCGUAGUCGAUGGGAAACGGGUUAAUAUUCCCGUACUUGGUGUUACUGCGAAGGGGGGACGGAGAAGGCUAUGUUGGCCGGGCGACGGUUGUCCCGGUUUAAGCGUGUAGGUGUGUGUUCCAGGUAAAUCCGGUUCACUUUAACACUGAGGCGUGAUGACGAGGCACUACGGUGCUGAAGCAACAAAUGCCCUGCUUCCAGGAAAAGCCUCUAAGCAUCAGGUAACAUCAAAUCGUACCCCAAACCGACACAGGUGGUCAGGUAGAGAAUACCAAGGCGCUUGAGAGAACUCGGGUGAAGGAACUAGGCAAAAUGGUGCCGUAACUUCGGGAGAAGGCACGCUGACACGUAGGUGAAGUGAUUUACUCAUGGAGCUGAAGUCAGUCGAAGAUACCAGCUGGCUGCAACUGUUUAUUAAAAACACAGCACUGUGCAAACACGAAAGUGGACGUAUACGGUGUGACGCCUGCCCGGUGCCGGAAGGUUAAUUGAUGGGGUCAGCGCAAGCGAAGCUCCUGAUCGAAGCCCCGGUAAACGGCGGCCGUAACUAUAACGGUCCUAAGGUAGCGAAAUUCCUUGUCGGGUAAGUUCCGACCUGCACGAAUGGCGUAAUGAUGGCCAGGCUGUCUCCACCCGAGACUCAGUGAAAUUGAACUCGCUGUGAAGAUGCAGUGUACCCGCGGCAAGACGGAAAGACCCCGUGAACCUUUACUAUAGCUUGACACUGAACAUUGAGCCUUGAUGUGUAGGAUAGGUGGGAGGCUUUGAAGCGUGGACGCCAGUCUGCGUGGAGCCGACCUUGAAAUACCACCCUUUAAUGUUUGAUGUUCUAACGUGGACCCGU